GGGAAUACAGCUCAGUUGGUAGAGUGCUUGCCUCACAUGCAUAAGGCCCUGGGUUCAAUCCCCAGUACCACCA
This 73-nucleotide transfer RNA is filed under the name Ictidomys tridecemlineatus (thirteen-lined ground squirrel). RNAcentral describes it as "Spermophilus tridecemlineatus (thirteen-lined ground squirrel) tRNA". It matches the Rfam family "tRNA". Rfam says of the family: Transfer RNA (tRNA) molecules are approximately 80 nucleotides in length. The record is from Rfam by way of RNAcentral. Lineage: Eukaryota; Metazoa; Chordata; Mammalia; Rodentia; Sciuridae.